GCGGGCGUAGCUCAGCUGGUUAGAGCACCUGGGUCACAACCAGGGGGUCACAGGUUCGAAUCCUGUCGUCCGCACCA
RNAcentral lists this transfer RNA (77 nucleotides) under Eubacteriales Family XIII. Incertae Sedis bacterium. RNAcentral describes it as "tRNA-Val". It matches the Rfam family "tRNA". From Rfam's summary of the family: Transfer RNA (tRNA) molecules are approximately 80 nucleotides in length. Their secondary structure includes four short double-helical elements and three loops (D, anti-codon, and T loops). Lineage: Bacteria; Bacillati; Bacillota; Clostridia; Peptostreptococcales; Anaerovoracaceae. The record is from RNAcentral.